GUGCCAGCAGCCGCGGUAAUACAUAGGGGUCAAGCGUUGUCCGGAUUUAUUGGGCGUAAAGAGCUCGUAGGCGGUUCAACAAGUCGGUCGUAAAAGUUUAGGGCUCAACCCUAAAAUGUCGAUCGAUACUGUUGUGACUAGGAUACGGUAGAGGUGAAUGGAAUUCUCGGUGUAGCAGUGAAAUGCGUAGAUAUCGAGAGGAACAUCAAUGGCGAAGGCAACUUACUGGACAUUUACUGACGCUCAGACACGAAGGCUAGGGGAGCGAAAGGGAUUAGAUA
Molecule: ribosomal RNA, 281 nt
Filed under: uncultured bacterium
Lineage: Bacteria
Description: partial 16S ribosomal RNA
Rfam family: Bacterial small subunit ribosomal RNA
Source: RNAcentral